RNAcentral lists this ribosomal RNA (450 nucleotides) under uncultured bacterium. RNAcentral's name for it is "bacterial SSU rRNA". It matches the Rfam family "Bacterial small subunit ribosomal RNA", at positions 354 to 796 of the family's 1533-position model. The record is from RNAcentral.
GUGGGGGAUAUUGGACAAUGGGCGAAAGCCUGAUCCAGCCAUGCCGCGUGUGUGAAGAAGGUCUUCGGAUUGUAAAGCACUUUAAGUUGGGAGGAAGGGCAGUAAGUUAAUACCUUGCUGUUUUGACGUUACCGACAGAAUAAGCACCGGCUAACUUCGUGCCAGCAGCCGCGGUAAUACGAAGGGUGCAAGCGUUAUCCGGAUUUAUUGGGUUUAAAGGGUGCGUAGGCUGGAAGGUCAGUCAGCGGUGAAAAGCUGUCGCUUAACGAUAGUCUUGCCGCAGAUACUUCCUUUCUUGGAUGAGGAGGAGGCCACUGGAACGGAUGGUGUAGCGGUGAAAUGCAUAGAUAUCAUCCAGAACACCGAUCGCGAAGGCAGGUGGCUGUACCUUAAUCGACGCUGAUGCACGAAAGCAUGGGGAGCAAACAGGAUUAGAAACCCGGGUAGUCC